GGCUUCGGCCAUGAGUAGAGCGGCGAACGGGUGAGUAACACGUGGGGAACCUGUCCUGGAGUGGGGGAUAACUCGGGGAAACCUGGGCUAAUACCGCAUUCGAUGCGAGAUCGCAUGGUUUCGUAGGAAAGCUGGCCUAUGCUUGCAAGCCGGCGCUCCUGGAGGGUCCCGCGGCCGAUUAGCUUGUUGGUGGGGUAACGGCCCACCAAGGCGACGAUCGGUAGCUGGCCUGAGAGGGUGAUCAGCCACACUGGAACUGAGACACGGUCCAGACUCCUACGGGAGGCAGCAGUGGGGAAUAUUGGACAAUGGGCGAAAGCCUGAUCCAGCAACGCCGCGUGCGGGACGAAGGCCUUCGGGUCGUAAACCGCUGUCAGAUGGGACGAACGAGCAGUGGAUAAUACCCACUGUUCUUGACGGUACCUUCAGAGGAAGCCCCGGCUAACUCCGUGCCAGCAGCCGCGGUAAUACGGAGGGGGCGAGCGUUAUUCGGAAUUAUUGGGCGUAAAGGGCGCGUAGGCGGCUCGAUCAGUCCAAGGU
RNAcentral lists this ribosomal RNA (540 nucleotides) under uncultured bacterium. Its description in RNAcentral is "bacterial SSU rRNA". It matches the Rfam family "Bacterial small subunit ribosomal RNA", at positions 76 to 595 of the family's 1533-position model. The record is from RNAcentral.